RNAcentral lists this long non-coding RNA (264 nucleotides) under Homo sapiens (human). RNAcentral describes it as "non-protein coding LINC01899:10". Lineage: Eukaryota; Metazoa; Chordata; Mammalia; Primates; Hominidae. The record is from RNAcentral.
CUGGACAUUUCCAGAGUAGAUGUUCUUCCCCCAAAUUACAAGGAAUGGAGGCUGGGAAACUACAUUUCUGAGACUCCUUCAUCAUCAGGAUGCCAGAUAAUAUUUUAAGUAAGGAAAAUAAAAUUAACUUUUCUGGGGCGAGAUGACAGACGAAUGUGCAAAGGCUUUCCUGUUUUCAAGAAGCAGUUUCUUACACUAUGCUUUUUAUUCACGUUAAAUGAAAUUCUAUUAGAAUAAAUUGUAUCAUGAGUUUUUAAAUAAAAU